GAUGAACGCUGGCGGCGUGCCUAAUACAUGCAAGUCGAGCGAACAGACGAGGAGCUUGCUCCUCUGACGUUAGCGGCGAACGGGUGAGUAACACGUGGAUAACCUACCUAUAAUACUGGGAUAACUUCGGGAAACCGGAGCUAAUACCGGAUAAUAUAUUGAACCGCAUGGUUCAAUAGUGAAAGACGGUUUUGCUGUCACUUAUAGAUGGAUCCGCGCCGCAUUAGCUAGUUGGUAAGGUAACGGCUGACCAAGGCAACGAUGCGUAGCCGACCUGAGAGGGUGAUCGGCCACACUGGAACUGAGACACGGUCCAGACUCCUACGGGAGGCAGCAGUAGGGAAUCUUCAGCAAUGGGCGAAAGCCUGACGGAGCAACGCCGCGUGAGUGAUGAAGGUCUUCGGAUCGUAAAACUCUGUUAUUAGGGAAGAACAAAUGUGUAAGUAACUAUGCACGUCUGGACGGUACCUAAUCAGAAAGCCACGGCUAACUACGUG
RNAcentral lists this ribosomal RNA (497 nucleotides) under uncultured bacterium. Its description in RNAcentral is "partial 16S ribosomal RNA". It matches the Rfam family "Bacterial small subunit ribosomal RNA", at positions 28 to 507 of the family's 1533-position model. The record is from RNAcentral.